Molecule: long non-coding RNA, 855 nt
Filed under: Marmota monax (woodchuck)
Lineage: Eukaryota; Metazoa; Chordata; Mammalia; Rodentia; Sciuridae
Source: RNAcentral
AUUGUCUCUGUUUGGAAGCUGUGGACACUAAAGGAGUUAGGGGCUUGCCCAGGCUCAUAUAGCGGGACCAACUCUGAGCCUGUUGGUCUCCAGGACUCUAUUUUCACUUUCAUCAACUGAUCUACGUUGACUAAGGUAUCUUUUGGAAGACCCAGAACAGAGUGACCAAGACGGUUCUUUCCUCAGAAUAAGUGUUUAUUAGCUUGAGAGUCUAAUGCCCUCGGAGCCCGAGGUCACUCAUUUCUUCAUUCGACAUAUUCUAUAUGGCAGUUGGCAUUCGUUAUAGUUUGGACCUGAAGUCCCCCAGCCAAACUCAUGUGUCGAAAGCAUGGUCCCCAAUGCGGCAAGGUUCGGAGGUGGAACUUUUAGGAAAUGAGGGGCUGUAACCUCACCAGUGGAUUAAUCCAUUUGGUAAGUUAAUAAUUUGAAUGGACAAUUGAGUAGUAACUGUAGGCAGGUGGGGCGUGGCUAGAGGAAGUAGGUCACUGAGCAUAGCCUUGGAGACUGUCUGUCCCUGACCCUUUCCUGUCUUUUUCUUUCUCUGCUUGCCAGCUGCCACGAGUUGAGCAACUUUCUUCCACCACAGCCUUCUGCCAUGAUGUUUUCGCCCUGGCGCCUCUGACCAUGACCUGAACCUCUAAAACUGUGAUCCAUGGUAAACCCUUCCUCGAUGGGCUUGGUGGCUCACGCCUGGAAUCCCAGCUAUCAGGAGGCUGAGGAAGGAGCAUUGUGAGUUUGAAGCCGAUCUGAGCAAUUUAUCAAGACCUUGUCUCAAAAUAAAAUAUAUAAAUAGCUGGGGGUGUAGCUCAGUGGUGAAGCAGCCCUGGGUUCAAUCACCAGUGCUGCAAAAUAAAC